GAGGAAGUAAAAGUCGUAACAAGGUUUUCCUUCCAGUUAAAGCUAUUGACUUAUUGAAGCCUGACGUGGGCGACUAUAAAUAUAACCAUGAAGUUCGGUCUUUAACAGACUGGACAACACCGCUGAAAUGCUGUGAUCAACUAUUGUUGUACCAGCAGCCCUCUUAUAGGGCCCACAGAUCAAGCCGCGGUGAUCCUACCUAGAGUAUUUAAGUAGGACUAUAAUAUGACCGGUCUCACCUGAGAUGGUUGAGAGAACACGUUCCGUAGGUGAACCUGCGGAAGGAUCAUUACCGAGUUAGGGUCUUAUAGGCCCGACCUCCAACCCUUUGUUUACUACACCAUGUUGCUUUGGCGGGCCCGCCUUUUGGGGCCGCCGGGGGUUUACAAGCCCCUGGUCAGUGUCCGCCAGUAGCCUUAUUAAAUUCUUUUAUAAUUAUGUUGUCUGAGUAUAAAUAUAAAUCGUUAAAACUUUCAACAACGGAUCUCUUGGUUCUGGCAUCGAUGAAGAACGCAGCGAAAUGCGAUAAGUAAUGCGAAUUGCAGAAUUCAGUGAGUCAUCGAAUCUUUGAACGCAUAUUGCGCCCUUUGGCAUUCCGAAGGGCAUGCCUGUUCGAGCGUCAUUAUCAACCAUCAAGCCUGGCUUGUCGUUGGACCUCUUUACCGCUGAAAUAUGUGGUAGGUCCGAAAGAUAAUGACGGCGUCGUGUUUGACCCUAGAUGCAACGAGCUUUUUAUAGCACGCAUUGAAGUGGUCGGCCGACCCGGUCUUUAACCAUUAUUUUCUAAGGUUGACCUCGGAUCAGGUAGGAAUACCCGCUGAACUUAAGCAUAUCAUAG
Molecule: small RNA, 838 nt
Filed under: uncultured fungus
Lineage: Eukaryota; Fungi
Description: eukaryotic LSU rRNA
Rfam family: 5.8S ribosomal RNA (bases 469-622)
Source: RNAcentral